UUGACAGCCCUGAAGUCCAAAGUCCUUUAUUUAUGCAUGAGCAGCAACAGUUCUGCCUUUCCCACACUGCCCUCCUGAUAUGCUUCACCCAUGACCUGAAGGAUCCCCCUUAAGGGUGACAGCUUUAGUAGCCUUCAUACCCAUUCACUCUCCAGUCCUCU
This 161-nucleotide small RNA is filed under the name Lonchura striata (white-rumped munia). Its description in RNAcentral is "domestica (Bengalese finch) TUC338 (ENSLSDG00000017593.1)". Lineage: Eukaryota; Metazoa; Chordata; Aves; Passeriformes; Estrildidae. The record is from RNAcentral.